This 465-nucleotide ribosomal RNA is filed under the name Vreelandella stevensii. RNAcentral's name for it is "partial 16S ribosomal RNA". It matches the Rfam family "Bacterial small subunit ribosomal RNA", at positions 338 to 795 of the family's 1533-position model. The record is from RNAcentral. Lineage: Bacteria; Pseudomonadati; Pseudomonadota; Gammaproteobacteria; Oceanospirillales; Halomonadaceae.
CCUACGGGGGGCUGCAGUGGGGAAUAUUGGACAAUGGGGGGAACCCUGAUCCAGCCAUGCCGCGUGUGUGAAGAAGGCCCUCGGGUUGUAAAGCACUUUCAGUGAGGAAGAACGCCUGGUGGUUAAUACCCAUCAGGAAAGUCAUCACUCACAGAAGAAGCACCGGCUAACUCCGUGCCAGCAGCCGCGGUAAUACGGAGGGUGCGAGCGUUAAUCGGAAUUACUGGGCGUAAAGCGCGCGUAGGUGGCUUGAUAAGCCGGUUGUGAAAGCCCCGGGCUCAACCUGGGAACGGCAUCCGGAACUGUCAAGCUAGAGUGCAGGAGAGGAAGGUAGAAUUCCCGGUGUAGCGGUGAAAUGCGUAGAGAUCGGGAGGAAUACCAGUGGCGAAGGCGGCCUUCUGGACUGACACUGACACUGAGGUGCGAAAGCGUGGGUAGCAAACAGGAUUAGAUACCCUAGUAGUC